Non-coding RNA from Oryctolagus cuniculus (rabbit), 163 nucleotides. The record is from RefSeq and is a predicted model, not a curated record. Lineage: Eukaryota; Metazoa; Chordata; Mammalia; Lagomorpha; Leporidae.
AUACUGACCUGGCAGGGGAGACACCAUGAUCAGGCAGGUGUUCCCCCAGGGGGAGGCCUGGCCAUUGCACUGCGGCUGUGCUGAUCCCUGUGAUUUCCCCAAGUGUGGGAAACUCAAGUGCAGAAUUUGUGGUAGUGGGGGACUGUGUGCGUGCUCUCCCCUA